AAGAAACCCUCUUCUUACCUUUAUUAGCUCCCCAACCUUGGGGAGAGAUAUCCACGAUCAUUGAUCAUUCCCCACCCUACAGAGACCCCCACACAAACACACACCAAUGGACCAGUGGGCCCCAAGGGGGCAAGGUGCUGGUCCCCUCCCCCCAACCUUGACCCUUAAGGGCUUAACCCCUGUCCAGGGGCCUGUAACUAGGGGUCCUGUCAGGCAGGGGUCCUGGGUUCUGUGCUCCUUGGGGAACAGGAAUGGCCCCACCGUCUUCUACAUAUGUUGCUUCUGAACCACAAGCUGUAUAAAAUUGAUGUUUUUUUUUU
RNAcentral lists this long non-coding RNA (320 nucleotides) under Rattus norvegicus (Norway rat). RNAcentral's name for it is "long non-coding RNA NONRATT026316". Lineage: Eukaryota; Metazoa; Chordata; Mammalia; Rodentia; Muridae. The record is from RNAcentral.